AGUGAACGCUGGCGGUAGGCCUAACACAUGCAAGUCGAACGGCAGCACAGUAAGAGCUUGCUCUUACGGGUGGCGAGUGGCGGACGGGUGAGGAAUACAUCGGAAUCUACUUUUUCGUGGGGGAUAACGUAGGGAAACUUACGCUCAUACCGCAUACGCCCUACGGUUGAAAGCAGGGGAUCUUCGGACCUUGCGCGAUUGAAUGAGCCGAUGUCGGAUUAGCUAGUUGGCGGGGUAAAGGCCCACCAAGGCGAGGAUCCGUAGCUGGUCUGAGAGAAUGGUCGGCCACACUGGAAGUGAGACACGGUCCAGACGCCUACGGGAGGCAGCAGUGGGGUAUAGUGGACAAUGGGCGCAAGCCUGAUCCAGCCAUACCGCGUGGGUUAAGAAGGCCUUCGGGUUGUAAAGACCUUUUGUUGGGAAAGAAAAGCAGCAGGUUAAUACCCCGCUGUUCUGACGGUACCCAAAGAAUAAGCACCGGCUAACUUCGUG
RNAcentral lists this ribosomal RNA (492 nucleotides) under uncultured bacterium. Its description in RNAcentral is "partial 16S ribosomal RNA". It matches the Rfam family "Bacterial small subunit ribosomal RNA", at positions 29 to 507 of the family's 1533-position model. The record is from RNAcentral.